Molecule: ribosomal RNA, 395 nt
Filed under: Pseudochattonella sp.
Lineage: Eukaryota; Dictyochophyceae; Florenciellales
Description: partial small subunit ribosomal RNA
Rfam family: Eukaryotic small subunit ribosomal RNA
Source: RNAcentral
AUUCCAGCUCCAAUAGUGUAUAUUAAAGUUGUUGCAGUUAAAAAGCUCGUAGUUGGAUUUCUGGCGUCGCCGCCCGGUUGGCCUCGAAAGGGGUAUGUACUGGGGCGCGCGUUGCCAUCCUCGGGGGAAGGUCGUCUGGCAUUAGGUUGUCGGACGGUCGACGCUCGUCGUUUACUGUGAACAAAUUAGAGUGUUCAAAGCAGGCUUAGGCCGUUGAAUACAUUAGCAUGGAAUAAUGAGAUAGGACUUUGGUGGUCUAUUUUGUUGGUUUGCACGCCGAAGUAAUGAUUAAUAGGGGCGGUUGGGGGUAUUCGUAUUCAAUUGUCAGAGGUGAAAUUCUUGGAUUUAUGGAAGACGAACUACUGCGAAAGCAUUUACCAAGGAUGUUUUCAUUA